This 497-nucleotide ribosomal RNA is filed under the name uncultured bacterium. RNAcentral describes it as "partial 16S ribosomal RNA". It matches the Rfam family "Bacterial small subunit ribosomal RNA", at positions 28 to 507 of the family's 1533-position model. The record is from RNAcentral.
GAUGAACGCUGGCGGCGUGCCUAAUACAUGCAAGUCGAGCGAACAGACGAGGAGCUUGCUCCUCUGACGUUAGCGGCGGACGGGUGAGUAACACGUGGAUAACCUACCUAUAAGACUGGGAUAACUUCGGGAAACCGGAGCUAAUACCGGAUAAUAUAUUGAACCGCAUGGUUCAAUAGUGAAAGACGGUUUUGCUGUCACUUAUAGAUGGCUCCGCGCCGCAUUAGCGAGUUGGUAAGGUAACGGCUUACCAAGGCGACGAUGCGUAGCCGACCUGAGAGGGGGAUCGGCCACACUGGAACUGAGACACGGUCCAGACUCCUACGGGAGGCAGCAGUAGGGAAUCUUCCGCAAUUGGCGAAAGCUUGACGGAGCAACGCCGCGUGAGUGAUGAAGGUCUUCGGAUCUUAAAACUCUGUUAUUAGGGAAGAACAAAUGUGUAAGUAACUAUGCACGUCUUGACGGUACCUAAUCAGAAAGCCACGGCUAACUACGUG